UACGAAGGGGGCUAGCGUUGUUCGGAAUUACUGGGCGUAAAGCGCACGUAGGCGGAUGUUUAAGUUAGGGGUGAAAUCCCAGGGCUCAACCCUGGAACUGCCUCUAAUACUGGGCAUCUAGAGUCCGAGAGAGGUGAGUGGAAUUCCGAGUGUAGAGGUGAAAUUCGUAGAUAUUCGGAAGAACACCAGUGGCGAAGGCGACUCACUGGACACAUAUUGACGCUGAGGUGCGAAAGCGUGGGGAGCAAACAGG
RNAcentral lists this ribosomal RNA (253 nucleotides) under uncultured bacterium. RNAcentral's name for it is "partial 16S ribosomal RNA". It matches the Rfam family "Bacterial small subunit ribosomal RNA", at positions 524 to 776 of the family's 1533-position model. The record is from RNAcentral.